AGUGAACGCUGGCGGUAGGCCUAACACAUGCAAGUCGAACGGCAGCACAGGAGAGCUUGCUCUCUGGGUGGCGAGUGGCGGACGGGUGAGGAAUACAUCGGAAUCUACUCUGUCGUGGGGGAUAACGUAGGGAAACCUACGCUAAUACCGCAUACGACAUACGGGUGAAAGCAGGGGAUCUUCGGACCUUGCGCGAUUGAAUGAGCCGAUGUCGGAUUAGCUAGUUGGCGGGGUAAAGGCCCACCAAGGCGACGAUCCGUAGCUGGUCUGAGAGGAUGAGCAGCCACACUGGAACUGGGACACGGUCCAGACUCCUACGGGAGGCAGCAGUGGGGAAUAUUGGACAAUGGGCGCAAGCCUGAUCCAGCCAUACCGCGUGGGUGAAGAAGGCCUUCGGGUUGUAAAGCCCUUUUGUUGGGAAAGAAAUCCAGCUGGCUAAUACCCGGUUGGGAUGACGGUACCCAAAGAAUAAGCACCGGCUAACUUCGUGCCAGCAGCCGCCGUAA
This 506-nucleotide ribosomal RNA is filed under the name uncultured bacterium. RNAcentral describes it as "partial 16S ribosomal RNA". It matches the Rfam family "Bacterial small subunit ribosomal RNA", at positions 29 to 523 of the family's 1533-position model. The record is from RNAcentral.